RNAcentral lists this small RNA (298 nucleotides) under Staphylococcus aureus. RNAcentral describes it as "5'UTR". The record is from RNAcentral. Lineage: Bacteria; Bacillati; Bacillota; Bacilli; Caryophanales; Staphylococcaceae.
UGCUACUGCUGGAUUAUUACAAUAACUUUUAUACAUUUUAUUCAGGAUUAUCUUAUAUUAUGUUUUAAUAAUAAUCUGUGAACAAUUAAGAGAUUUGAAAUUGAAUUUAAUAAUUGUAUUGAAAACGCAUACUUCACCAUGCUAAAAUAGGAGUCGCAAACAAAUAAGAUUCAAUAAGAUGUGAUGGUAAGCUAGAUAAACUAACGUAUCAGUUUUAUAUACUACUUAGUCAAUUGCUUCUUUUACAUUAAUUACAUACACCAACGUGUUACUAAGUAAGAUUAGGCAUGAGUUAAAU